GAUGAACGCUGGCGGCGUGCCUAAUACAUGCAAGUCGAGCGCGAGCGUAAGGAGCUUGCUCCUUACAAUCGAGCGGCGGACGGGUGAGUAACACGUGGGCAACCUACCCUUUAGACUGGGAUAACUACCGGAAACGGUAGCUAAUACCGGAUAAGUUGGAUCACACAAGUAAUCUUAAUGAAAGGCGGAUUUAUCUGUCACUAAAGGAUGGGCCUGCGGUGCAUUAGCUAGUUGGUGAGGUAGUGGCUCACCAAGGCAACGAUGCAUAGCCGACCUGAGAGGGUGAUCGGCCACACUGGGACUGAGACACGGCCCAGACUCCUACGGGAGGCAGCAGUAGGGAAUCUUCCGCAAUGGACGCAAGUCUGACGGAGCAACGCCGCGUGAGUGAAGAAGGGUUUCGGCUCGUAAAACUCUGUUGUUAAGGAAGAACACUUUUGGUAGUAACUGGCCUAGAGAUGACGGUACUUAACCAGAAAGCCACGGCUAACUACGUGCCAGCAGCCGCGGUAA
RNAcentral lists this ribosomal RNA (513 nucleotides) under uncultured bacterium. RNAcentral's name for it is "partial 16S ribosomal RNA". It matches the Rfam family "Bacterial small subunit ribosomal RNA", at positions 28 to 523 of the family's 1533-position model. The record is from RNAcentral.